This 10493-nucleotide long non-coding RNA is filed under the name Citrus maxima (pomelo). RNAcentral describes it as "long non-coding RNA (CMAX_LNC003467)". Lineage: Eukaryota; Viridiplantae; Streptophyta; Magnoliopsida; Sapindales; Rutaceae. The record is from RNAcentral.
GCAAAGGAUUGUCUCUGAAAAGAGUAUGAGUCAUACCAAAUAACUUGGAAGGGUCAUACUGUUUAAUAGGAGAAAGCAUAGAGGCAAAAGGAUGAUAAGUUGGACCGAUGGAAGGGAUAGGAGGUGAAGUGGUGAAAAGGGUAGGUCUCUGUUUUUCAGAUUCAAUCUGAGCAAGUUCAGCUUUUAAGCAUCUGAUUUCCCUUUCUUUUUGGUCAAAUUCGGGGCCUGAGUAACGAUGGGCAAGCAUGGCUCGUAACUCAGAGUCAAGUUGAGAAAUUCUGGACUGGAGGUUUUGGUAUAUCUGCUGCAUCUGUGCAGUGAUGGAGUCAACUUUUGUCUCAAUCUGUUCAGUUCACAAACUGAUGUUCUCAACUCUUGAAUUGAGAUGCAACAAAGUAUCAUUUUGUGCCCUGGCAUUUUGAGUUUGCCAGUUGAGGACAGAUUCAAAAGGUUUAGGGGGUUCCAGGUGGCUAGUGGAUGUAAUAGGUGAAGGGAUAAAGGGUUUUGACACAACAUUUCGUUGGGGAUCUGUGUGGGGUUCCAAAGAAGGAAAGGAAGAGGAGUAAUCGGAAGAGGUAGAGGAAAACAUCAUACAAGCUAGUGGUUGGACGAUAGGUGUUGAGUGUGAGAGGGGUGAUGGAAUCUCAGAUUUACAAUGUUUGGCAAUCCAUUUGAGUUCUUUUCGGUAGAUGGGUAAUGGAGCUAGUGGAGGUGGAGGAUCUGAUGGUGGUUUGGGGUCACAGUGGUGACAUGGGACAGGAGGUUUUUUCUUUUUGGGUUUCUUUUUCCGUGUGGUUGCAUAAUCAUCAUCUUCUUCCCAAUCAUCCCAGCAGGGACAAUUUGGGUCACACAUGCCGGAACCAGGGGCAUCCCAUAGGAAAUGGCCAUUGUGUUUGGCUGGAUAAACAGGGUAACCUUCAGAAUUAAACCCUGUAAUGGGCAGAUCUUCCUGAGCUGUCUGAACAGCUGUGAUCAUGGAGGAAUAAGUAAAGGAGAGCCGAGGAGGCUCUUGUGGAGCACUGGGAGGUGGUUUAAAAGUCAUUCUGACUGUUCCAUCUUGUCGUCUUUCAAACAUACUUUCGGAUGUCUGAAUGGGAGCUGUAUUAUUAUGGAACUGUUCAUAGUUAGAGAUCCAUUCAAGAGGCAUAAGCUUGAUGAGCUCAUGACGAGGAAUUUGUCGUGUGAUCUGGAUGAUUGUCGGGAUCUGGUCAGAUUCUGCUAACACCAUGAGGGUGUCAGAGUGGUGUUCUGGUGUGGGUAGAUCCAAGGCAUGAUUUUGAAGCCUAUAGACCAGUUGGUGGUGUAAAGUGGCAAUUUUGGCAGAAGAAAUUUGUUCAGCACCUUGAAUUUGGAUUUGGACCUUCAAGGUUGUAGGCAAGUUGGGAUCUUGGAGAGAAAGGUUGAAGUUGGGAUAGAAAGUGAGUAACACACUUCCUGCAUGGAGGGUGGUAAGGACAGUGCCAAUAACAGCAUCUUGGUACUGUUUAAACCGGGUAUCAAGCAUAGCAAGGCGAGCUGUAACCGGUAAUCCUUUUCUCCCAUGAAGGGUAAGGAUUAAUCUGAUGCCUCCAAGAUGGAGAUGAGUGUAACCUUCUCGUUUCCAGUUGGAAAUCAACUCUAAGGGUAUUUCAAGAGUGACAUAUUGCUCAGCAGGGGUUGCUUGGAGUGAACACUGAUCCAGGCGAGAAGACUGGAUAUAUUCUUUAGGGUGAGGUCUUCGGGUGGAUAUGAGAGUACGGAUACUGCGAGUAAAAGAACUGGGGCGUUUAUAUAGAUGGUAAGGGCUGAGAAGAGGGUAAGAAGAUUCACUGAUUUGGGCGGAUUCAGGGAUGUAGGAGUAUUCUAUAAGGUUUUCAAUUUUGUUGGCAGUAUGAGAAGUGCAAGAUUUUGGUAAGGAAAGAGGAGAAGAAAGAGUAACAGGAGUAGAAGGAGUCGAAGAUGAAGUGGAAGCCAUGAAUGAGAAAUUCUCUCUGCGUCUGAAGUCUAUGGAGCAAAAAAGAAUAAAGUCAUAAAUUAUACCAUUUUGAGCAUGAAAACAAGAGUUUAGAAAACAAGUUUCAAGGAACGGUAUGGCUCUGAUACCAGUUUACACUCAAAGGUUAUUUUACAAGGUUCGUAAACAAAUUUGCAAAGAAGACCAGUUUAUAUUGUCAAGCAAUGUCACUCUUCUAGAUAUUCUUCAAUGAUCACAGCUGUUCAGACAGCUCAGGAAGAUCUGCCCAUUACCCUGUUUAUCCAGCCAAGCACAAUGGCCAUUUCCUAUGGGAUGCCCCUGGUUCAGGCAUGUGUGACCCAAAUUGUCCCUGCUGGGAUGAUUGGGAAGAAGACGAUGCUUAUGCAACCACAAGGAAAAAGAAACCCAAAAAGAAAAAAAACAGGAAACUCGUGUUUUCCCUUACAAUAUGAAUCCCUAAACCUCUUCUCUCUCUCUGUAAAUGAAGUUCUAAGAAAGAAAAAGAAUAAAGGAUUAAAUUUGUUCAUUUUGAAAACUUAAGGAAGUAUGCUCUGCACUUGCCUUCCAGUAAGGAUCCUGUGCAUCAGAAAACUUUUGAUCAUUUCUUAUCUGGUUUGGUACCCUGUUUUAGACUAAAGCGAAGUAUGUUUUGGGUUGUAUAACCUGAGAAAAAUGUUUUAAAGGUUUUUGAUUACAGAGGUAUAUCGGUUGGAAACUCGAGCUUGCGGACUACUGGUCCAAAGGACAGUCUUAACUGUUGUAGUUCUGGUAUAACAACGCCACGUAUCUUUAUGGUAUCACAGCGACUAGGCAUUUACAAGCAAACAAGAAGUGGAUUGUGGUUUAUAAUCCAAAACAACAACAUUUUGAGUGCUCCUGUAAGAAGUUCGAAUCAAUUGGAGUACCCUGCCCUCACUUAUUUUGUGUGAUGAAACAUAUGCAUGUUUGUGAGAUACCUACUUCAUUGAUUAACAAAAGAUAGACAAUGGAUGUGAAAGUUUACAGACAAUCUCCAAUGCCGUUGGAAAGUCAAUCUAGGGACGUUCUUAACAAUUUUCGGUAUGGGUCACUAAAUGCAGAAUUUAAUGAAAUUUGUUUUAUGCCUCAAAAUCUGAUGCUGUGUAUUGGAAAUUAAAAAGUCAUCUUGCUCAACUUAAAUAAAGUAGUUGAGAACAAGUGAUGAAAGAGAUAGAAAUAGACCAUUCAGUGCAGAAAAGAAAGCAAGAAUUAUAAAAGAUCCUCUUGUUGUAAAGACAAAGGGUGCACCUAAUACAGACGUUAAUAAAGGUGUUAACUCAAGAAAAUAUGGAUAUUGUAAACAAGAUGGACAUACCGUACGGAAAUGCCCAAGUAAGAAUGGUCAUGUUACAAGCGUGGCUACCUUGGCCGGACCAUUAAACAGAUUCACAUAAUUUAUUUGGUAUGGGCAAAUAGGUCAUUAUUUCUAUUUUUUUUUUUUUUAGUGGAAAUCAUUAUGUUGUAUUAAAAGUAGUUUUGUUGAAAUUUUAUGCAGAUUAUCUUAAGGAGGCUGCCUCACUUGUGUCACUGCAUAAAAAAUUAUAGUGAAAUAAUCUACAUAUGCCUAAGGGAGUGAAUUUGGACAAGCUAUUUGCAUUUUAUUAGACACAAUUUUGACCAAUUAUUUUUUAGACUAUGGUUACGGCCAUGUCAUGUACUCUUAUAUUUUAUUGCACUACUAGAAUAAUUAUGAAUAUUACACCUCUCAUGAACCUAUUAGUUUCUCCUAUUUUGAUGAUAAUGUAAUAUGAAAGAAACCUUGAACAAUGUGAUAUUCAUGAAAUUUUAAACUUACAGAAAAGGGCGUAAAAAUGAUAUUCUAAAUCUUAACACACCAAGUAACAGAAAUCAGUGUAGUUUGCCGAAACCAUGUUGAACAUCACAAAUGUUGAACAAAACAUGUGUAGUUUCUUAUACGUGAAUGUUGGUGUUUGAACGGAAAUUAUUACCUCAAGUUUAAAAAAAUAUUCCCUUCGUGAGCCUAAUAUAACAAUAUGUACCUUAUUUAAUUAACACUUGAAGAGAUCACACGUUCAAAUAGAUUUUGAGCCCAUUUCAAGUUAAAAAAAUUAGAAAUCCAAAGUCUUUGAUGACUCUGUUCCAGUGCAGAGAAGCAUAGCUCUGAUACCAUAAAGAGAACCAUAAAGAUACGUGACGUUGUUAUACCAGAACUACAACAGUUAAGACUGUACUUUGGACCAGUAGUCCGCAAGCUCGGGUUUCCAGCCGAUAUACCUCUGUAAUAAAAAAUCUUUAAAACAUUUUUCCUCAGGUUAUACAACCCAAAACAAACUUCUCUUUAGUCUAAAACAGGGUACCAAACCAGAUAAGAAAUGAUCGAAAGUUUUCUGAUGCACAGGAUCCUUGCAAAAGGCAAGUGCAGAGCAUACUUCCUUAAGUUUUCAAAAUGAACAAAUUUAAUCCUUUAUUCUUUUUCUUUCUUAGAACUUCAUUUGCAGAGUGAGAAGGGAGAAUUUAGAAAUUCAUGGAAGAAAACACACGAGUUUUUAUUUCUAGAAAACUUCUAUAUCUUACAAGGAGGGGAGAACUCUUUACAUAGGAGAAUUCUCGGAAGAUAGGACAGGACCCCUAUCUUUUACAAAAGCAAAAGCAAAAGAUACAUCAUGACACAACUUUAAUUAUUACAAAAGACAAAAGAUGCUUUAAUAAUUAAAGCAUGAGUUUUGACAAAAGCAAAAGCAAAAGCUUAAAGUAAAAGCAAACUGCAAUAAUUAUAUAAGACAAAAGCAUAAAGCAAAACAUAAUUAUUACAACAAGACAAACUACUUUAUGGAGAGAGGAGAUUCAUGUAGUCGUCUUCAAAGGAGCUUUCUGUCUCAUCUGGGUCCGUAUCACCAGAGUGAGGAUGCUUUUAGAAGAAAGUUUUGGAGAACUUUGGAUGCUUACAGAAGGGACCACGGCAUGGUGGAUAAGGGCAAUUAUAGUCUCUGGGAGUACACUUUGGAGUAUACUUAGGGGAAGUUUGGGUGGCUUUGUCAACUUUGGAUGGUUGAGCUGGUCGUUUGGAAGAUUAGGUUGAGGGUCCUGAUUCAGAGGGGCCAGGUUCAUCCAUUGUUGGUUGGGGAAACUGGUGAAGGUGUUGGCUUAGAGGAAGGAAGUCUUCCCAUGGGUCUUGGGAGUCCUGGUAAAGGAAGUCAGUGUAGUCUGGGCGUUCUUCUUUAAUGAUGAUACCAGUGGACUUAGGUUUAGAUAUGGUAGAUGGAGUGGGGAUCAUGAGGAGGUCAUGUUGAGGACCUAAGGAGGUGUGGGAGAUAUCUUUAAGUGGCGGAGGUUGGUGGUUUAAUUGACAAAGGUAGUUGUGCAGGACGUCUUGAAUGUCAUUUUCAAUGACAGCUAUAUAUGGUGCAGUGAACCAUUCAUAUACCUGAUCUUGAGUCCAAAAGAGUUUGGUGUCUGGAUGUUGGAAGUAUGGCCUGUGAAUAAUAAAGACUGAUGUGAACAGUUGUGCUUCAGGGGCAGGCAUACGAUCAAGGUUGUAAAUUUCUGACAGUUGUUGCAGUUUCUUUCUCCACCAUGGGAUGGUGGAGAACCAUUCAAGUAGUGUCCAGGUAAGAGAAGUAGCAUUGUCUGGAUUAAGAAGAUGCUCCAAAGUAGGAGAAAUGGGAAGGAUCAGCUUGGUUGCAUAAAGGACUGUUAGGCACCAGAUGUACCAUAACACAUCUUCAGUGGUGUCUCUGGACGGAUCAAGGGUUAAACCUGUAAGGAACAGAUUUUCUGGGUGGAAAGUGGAAAAAGGAAAAGGGUCUGUGACAAGGUAGACUUUCAUGAAAAAGCGAAAGAGAGCUUUUCUAGCAAAUUCUUGGAUGACAAAAACAGAAGAGAAGUUUUUAUUGAAGGGAAAAGUUUUCUUGGUGAGAGCUUCUGGGGGUAGUGAAGUAGCCAUGGAGAUAAUUGGAAAAUGGUAGGUAGUGGAGAACAGGAUGAGAGGAUUUUCUGGUUUUGAAAGUCUGGAAAGCAUAUCAGGGAUGAGGUUCUGGGAUCCCUUUAUAUGCUUGACAGAAAAGUCAUAUUUAGAAAACCAAUCUUUUAACCUGAGUAACAUUUUUUCAGGAACAGUUUUACCUUUGAAAUUGAGAAUAUUGGGGAAGGCUGAACUGUCCAUUCGGAUAAGAAAAUGGUGUCCAAUCAAAUGAUACUCAAACUUUUUGAUGCCAUUCUUUACCGCUAAGAUUUCUUUGAACACGCUAUGGUAGUGCUUCUGUGUGUCAGAAAAAUGUCCACUAGUGUGAGCGAUAAAGUGGUCUUGGUCAUUGAGUUCUUCGAGGAGGAUGGCACCCCAUGAUCCAUCACUUGCGUCUGUCUGGAGGAUGCGUUUUCCAUCAGUAAUCAACUUUAAAGGGGGCGGAUUUUGCGCGAUCUGCUUUAGGGUAGUGACAGCAAUUGUGUGGUCAGCAUUCCACUCUGGGGGGUUCUUUUUCAAUAAAGCCGAGAGAUGAUGAGUGUAAUGAUCCACAUGUGGGAUGAAAUCACGGAUGUAAUUGAUAAUGCCGAGAAACUGUUGAAUUUGCCUUUUGGAAAGUUGCUGAUCUGGAAAGUGAAGCAAUUCUUGGGCAAUGUGCUUUCCUGGCUGAUAGUGUCCAUCUUUGAUGACCGUACCAAGGAAUUAAAUGUUGUUUGUAGCAAUGGUGCUUUUCUUGGCCGAUAACAUGAUUCCAUGACUUUGGAGAAUAUCAUAGAAUUGAGUUAACAGCUGGCAAUGUUCAUCAUGUGAGCCUGAAAAAAGCAAGAUAUCAUCAAUGUAAAUCAAUGCAUGAUGCAAAAUGGGUUGGAAGAUUUGGACCAUGGAUUUUUGAAAAAUAGAUGGGGCAGUUUUGAGACCAAAGGGUAGGACGGUCCAUUGAAAAUGGGCAUUACGAAUACAAAAAGCGGUUUUGUAACGUUCGGAGGGUUCAAUGCCUAGUUGCCAAAAACCAGAUUUUAAAUCAAAUUUUGAAAAGAUCUGGGCAUUUUUGAGAAAAGUGAACAUGCUUUGUCGGCGAGGUAAUGGGAAUUUGUCAUCUUGCAAAAACAUGUUUAAUAGCUGGUAGUCAAUGACUAAGCGUUUCUUUCCUCGGACAAUUUCAGAAUGUUUUUCAACAUAAAAGGCUUGGCAAAGCCCAUUGAGAACUUGUGGGCUCAAUGAGACCUUGGGCUAACAAUUGUGAACAUUCUUGUUGGGCUAGGAGUAAGUCAGAAGGACUCAUUCCUGGAUGAGUAGCUUUGGUCGGGUUGAUGUCUUCAUUUAGUUUGAAGGAUAACUUAAUGAAGAAAGACUUAUUUUUCCACAAGGGGUUUGGAUGGGUGAACUCAGAAUGGGACUCUGGACAGAAACUCAAAAGUUUGGUUGAAAUAUCCUGGUAAGACUGGGGAGUUUCAGACAAAUUGUAGAGUUUCAGAAUAUUUGUGAAUGGUUUGAACAUGGACUUGACUCGGAUUCCAGUGGGAAUGAUUUGGAGGUGUUGGAUCUGGUGAAGGAUGUCAAAUCCUAACAAGAUAUCUUUAUUAGGAAGAGUUGAACCAAUAACCUUGGUCCAAAUGACACAAUUUGAGAAGAUUUGAAUGUCAAUGGGCUUCUUGGUAAUCAAAGAAGUGGUGAGGAGUUUGCCAUUGACAGCUUUGAAAUGUUCUUCAAACUGGGUCAAAUAUUCUGAUGGAAGAAUAUUGGGGUUUAACAUGCUGCAUUGGGCACCAGUAUCUAUAAGACCAAUUGCGGGAAUGGGCCUUUGGAAUUUUAAGGACAAGAUCUGGAGUUUGAUGGAUGGGAUAGGAACUAUAGUGUCAAGGGAGAGUAACUGUUGGUGGAAAAUUACUUGAGACUGGUCACUGUCUGAGUCAGAGGAAUUCUGUAGUGCGAACAUUGUUUCAUCAUUGGGUUCAUCUUGUUCAGAGAAAUAGAAUUCCAGUUCAUCUUUGGCAGGAGAGUAGUCUGUAGUUGCUUGAAGAUGCUCAACUAACCGGAUGGAUUUUUCUCUUUUGUUGGGACAAUCUUUAGUAUAGUGGCCUUUUCUCUUGCAGAUGAAACAUCUGCUUGAUUGCUUUCGUUUGAAUUCUCUGGAGGAGGAAGAUUUCUUUCUGAAGAACCGGUAGGGCUUUCGGGAUCUGCGAGGUUUGGAUGAAAAUUAUGGAGCUUUGAAUUUCUGAAAAUGCCGUUUUUUCUUUGAACUGCAAUCGCAAUCCUUUUUCUUGUGGCAUUUGAUCUGUAAAUAAGGCUUUUUGCAAGCACUUCGGAAAGGUUCUUUGUCUUUCAACAGUUCUUUGAAAAACUAUUUUUGCUCGCAAAGUUUGUCAAGACAAGUUUUGGCAAGCUGGAAGAUUUUGCCAAGAGAGAUGUUGUCUAGGGAAAGAUUGGAUGCUGUGAGUUGUCUUUGGAUGUCAGGUUGGAGUUCUUCAGGGAGGGAAGCCAGAAAGACAUGCUUUAAUGUUGGUUCAUUGAAUCCAUUAAGCUUAUAGAACAGCAGGGACAUUCGCUUAUAAUGGAAGUCAAGAUCCUUAGCAUUGAGGGAGCAGCAUUUCAUGUUGAGAUAGUCUCGUCUAGCAGCUUCAAAGACUGCAGAAGGGUCGCCAAGGAAUUGAUCAUGAAGUACAGCAAGAGCACUUGAAACUUCUGGAAGGUCAACAAACUGUAAUUGGUGAUAUUGUCCUAACGAAUCAAACCAAUCUCUUAGAGCACCCGUGAAACGAGUAGCAAAUUCUCUAAGGACUGAUUGAGUUAUUGCGCCUGGUCUUAGCAUCUGGAGGUCAAUCCAGGCAGACAUCUCAGUGAGUCGGUCACGCCAUUUAUGAGAUGGAAGAUCAUCAAAUGUGAACCAUGGGCCAUUUGACGAUUUUUGGCUAGAUGGAUUGGUCUGGGUUGGAGGAGGGUGGUUUGUGGCAGAAGAUUCAUGCAUUUCGUCUUCAACUUCAGAGGGAAUAUCAACAUAUGGUUCUGUAUGGGAGGUUUGGCCUUGGGUAGGUGGAUCAGGUUGAGCCAUCAGGAUUUUGGUAAUAUCAGCAUAAGACUUUUCAGAGUCACUGGUGGAUGCUGAAGAUUCUGUAUCAGUUUCGGUAGAGCUAACUGAAACAGCUAGAUUUGAAUCAGAAGUUUGAUCGUCUGUAGUAGAUGAAUGGGUGACUGUGUGAGCAGUAAAUUGGUUCAUGGGUUCUCUAUCCUUGGAUUGGGUAGGGACUGAUAAUGGAGCUAGCGGUGAUGUCGAUGUAGAACUAGGAGAUGGUUGGCCAAGGAUGGUCAAUGAGGAAGGAUGAAGAGGGACAGGUCGAGGCUGCGGUCUAGGUUUGGGUUUAGGUUUAGGUGGUGGUGGCAAAGGAUUGUCUCUGAAGAGAGUAUGAGUCAUACCAAAUAACUUGGAAGGGUCAUACUGUUUAAUAGGAGAAAGCAUAGAGGCAAAAGGAUGAUAAGUUGGACCGAUGGAAGGGAUAAGAGGAGAUGUUGUAAAAAAGGUAGGUCUCUGUUUUUCAGAUUCAAUCUGAGCAAGUUCAGCUUUUAAGCGCUUGAUUUCUUUUUCCUUUUGGUCAAAUUCUGGACCAUUGUAUCUGUGGGCAAGCAUGGCUCGUGACUCUGAAUCGAGUUGACCAAUUCGGGAGUGAAGAUUUUGGUGGAUCUGCUGCAUCUGUGCAGUGAUGGAAUCAACUUUUGUCUCAAUCUGUUCAGUUCGCAAACUGAUGUUCUCAACUUUUGAAUUGAGAUGCAACAAAGUAUCAUUUGGUGCCCUAGCAUUUUGAGUUUGCCAGUUGAGGACGGAUUCAAAAGGUUUAGGGGGCUCCAGGUGGCCAGUGGAGGUAAUAGGAGAAGGGAUAAAGGGUUUGGACACAAUAUUUCGUUGAGAAUCUGUGUGGGUUCCAAAGGAGGAAAGGAAGAAGAGUAAUCGGAAGAGGUAGAGGAAAACAUCAUACAAGCUAGUGGUUGGACGAUAGGUAUUGGGUGCGGGAGUGGUGAUGGAAUCUCAGAUUUGCAAUGUUUGGCAAUCCAUUUGAGUUCUUUUCGGUAGAUGUGUAAUGGAGCUGGUGGAGGUGGAGGUGGAGGAUCUGAUGGUGGUUUAGGGUCACAGUGGUGACCUGGGACAGGAGGUUUUUUCUUUUUAGGUUUCUUUUUCCUUGUGGUUGCAUAAUCAUCGUCUUCUUCCCAAUCAUCCCAGCAGGGACAAUUUGGGUCACACAUGCUUGAACCAGGGGCAUCCCAUAAGAAAUGGCCGUUGUGCUUGGCUGGAUAAACAGGGUAGCCUUCAGAAUUAAACCCUGUAAUGGGCAGAUCUUCCUGAGCUGUCUGAACAGCUGUGAUCAUUGAGGAAUAAGUAAAGGAGAGCCUAGGAGGCUCUUGUGGAGCACUGGGAGGCGGUUUAAAGGUCAGUCGGACUGUUCCAUCUUGUCGUCUUUCAAACAUACUUUCAGAUGUCUGAAUAGGAGCUGUAUUAUUGUGGAACUGUUCAUAGUUGGAGAUCCAUUCAAGAGGCAUAAGCUUGAUGAGCUCAUGACGUGGAAUUUGUCUGGGGAUCUGGAUAAUUGUCGGGAUCUGGUCGGAUUCUGC